UGGGGAAUAUUGCACAAUGGGCGCAAGCCUGAUGCAGCCAUGCCGCGUGUAUGAAGAAGGCCUUCGGGUUGUAAAGUACUUUCAGUCGGGAGGAAGGUGGUAAGGUUAAUAACCUUAUCAAUUGACGUUACCGACAGAAGAAGCACCGGCUAACUCCGUGCCAGCAGCCGCGGUAAUACGGAGGGUGCAAGCGUUAAUCGGAAUUACUGGGCGUAAAGCGCACGCAGGCGGUUGAUUGAGUCAGAUGUGAAAUCCCCGGGCUUAACCCGGGAAUUGCAUCUGAUACUGGUCAGCUAGAGUCUUGUAGAGGGGGGUAGAAUUCCAGGUGUAGCGAUGAAAUGCGUAGAGAUCUGGAGGAAUACCGGUGGCGAAGGCGGCCCCCUGGACAAAGACUGACGCUCAGGUGCGAAAGCGUGGGGAGCAAACAGG
RNAcentral lists this ribosomal RNA (429 nucleotides) under Chloroflexota bacterium. RNAcentral describes it as "Chloroflexi bacterium partial 16S ribosomal RNA". It matches the Rfam family "Bacterial small subunit ribosomal RNA", at positions 355 to 776 of the family's 1533-position model. Lineage: Bacteria; Bacillati; Chloroflexota. The record is from RNAcentral.